This 975-nucleotide ribosomal RNA is filed under the name Triticum aestivum (bread wheat). RNAcentral describes it as "partial small subunit ribosomal RNA". Lineage: Eukaryota; Viridiplantae; Streptophyta; Magnoliopsida; Poales; Poaceae. The record is from RNAcentral.
AUGGCGCGCGCCGCCGUCUCCACCGCGCCGCUCUCCCGCCUCCACUCCCCCACGCCCUCCAUUCCGUGCCACUCUGUGUCCUCGCAGCUCCGCAUUCACCAGCAGCGCAAGCCCCUCACCGUCGCCUCGGCGCUGCCGGAGGUCGCGGACCUGCCGGGGCUCUCCCUGCCCGCCGCGGCGGCCGCGGCCGCGGCCCUGGCUGCCGCGGUGUCCCUCUCCGACCCGGAGCGCCGGCGCAAGGCGCAGGCGGAGGCGGUGGGCGGCGGGGACAAGGAGGCGGUGCGCGCCUACUUCAACUCCACGGGCUUCGAGCGGUGGCGCAGGAUCUACGACCCGGCCACGGACGACGUGAACCGCGUGCAGCUGGACAUCCGGGAGGGCCACGCGCAGACGGUGGCCGCCACGCUGGCCAUGCUGCGGGACGCCCCGGACGUGCCCCUGUCCGGCGCCACGGUGUGCGACGCCGGGUGCGGGACCGGGUCGCUCUCCAUCCCGCUGGCCUCCGCGGGGGCCUCCGUGCUCGCGUCCGACAUCUCCGCCGCCAUGGUCUCGGAGGCGCAGCGGCAGGCGCAGGCGGCCGCGUCGUCGUCGCCGGGGUUCCGCAUGCCGCGGUUCGAGGUGCGGGACCUGGAGAGCCUGGAGGGGCGGUACGACGUGGUGGUGUGCCUGGACGUGCUCAUCCACUACCCGCGGGAGGAGGCGCAGAAGAUGAUCCGCCACCUCGCCUCCCUCGCCGGGAAGCGGCUGGUCAUCAGCUUCGCGCCCAAGACGCUCUACUUCGACGUGCUGAAGCGCGUCGGCGAGCUGUUCCCCGGCCCGUCCAAGGCCACGCGCGCCUACCUCCACUCCGAGAAGGACAUCGAGGAGGCGCUCCGCGCCGCCGGCUGGCGCGUCAAGAACAAGGGCUUCAUCUCCACCCAGUUCUACUUCGCCAAGCUCUACGAGGCCGUCCCCGUCGCCGCCGGCUCGUCGUAG